CAAAAACAUGUCUUUUUGAAUUAUAUAUAAAGUCUAACCUGCCCACUGAAAUUUGAAUGGCCGCAGUACACUAACUGUGCAAAGGUAGCAUAAUAAUUAGUCUUUUAAUUGAAGGCUGGAAUGAAUGGUUGGACGAAAUAUUAACUGUUUCAUUAAAAAUUUUUAUAGAAUUUUAUCUUUUAGUCAAAAAGCUAAAAUAAAAUUAAAAGACGAGAAGACCCUAUAAAGCUUUAUAACUAAUUCAAAUUGAGCUAUUUAGAUGGUUAAAGUUUUCUUUCUGUUAGUUAUUUUAUUGGGGUGAUAUUGAAAUUUAACUAACUUUCAUUUGUUUAACCAUUGAUGUAUGAGCUAUUGAUCCAUUUUAAUGAUUAUAAAUUUAAGUUACUUUAGGGAUAACAGCGUAAUUUUUUUGGAGAGUUCAUAUCGAUAGAAAAGAUUGCGACCUCGAUGUUGGAUUAAGGAAUAAGUUUAGGCGCAGCCGUUUAAAUAGUAAGUCUGUUCGACUUUUAAAC
This 512-nucleotide ribosomal RNA is filed under the name Trypetoptera punctulata. Its description in RNAcentral is "partial 16S ribosomal RNA". It matches the Rfam family "Bacterial large subunit ribosomal RNA", at positions 1808 to 2593 of the family's 2925-position model. The record is from RNAcentral. Lineage: Eukaryota; Metazoa; Arthropoda; Insecta; Diptera; Sciomyzidae.